GCGCCACAGGCUAACACGUUGCGUGGUGUACAGGACUGUCCGGAAGGUGCUUGACAUCGAUGGAUGGUAUUUAAUGGGGAUGGAAUAUCUAGAAUGCAACCCCUGUGAAAAGAAGUUGGCAGGUUGGUCACUGGAUGUCCUUAACCAGGUGGACACAAGUUCUCAGCGAUCUUGGCUUUUCGGUUAAUUCCCAUGGUGUAUCAGGCUGUCCUGUGACCUGAAGGUAGUCAGAAUAGACGAGGGAGCGUACACUUGGGAACAGCGUGACUAGGCUCUUCCUUACCUCAAGAAGGCUGCUCCAUUGCCCCCUACUAUCUGUCAGGACCUGGAGGAGGAUGAGUACACAAGUCCUGAUGGGGUUGUCGGGUAUCAACAUGUCGUUCUCCUUGCCAAAAGUCUGAUGAGACUCUUGGAGAGGCUGUCGAUCUCGACUCGGCAUGCCCAAAGAGAUAAUCGCCCUGUGAGAGAAUCUUCCAGAGGCGAACAAGAUGAGUCUCCUCAAAGACCACAGCAGUCGAGGGGGAAGAUAGCAUGAAGCGCUCCCUAUUUGGACAAGGACCUGGACCUGCCCUGUGGCCCAACACUAGCAGCACAGUAGAGGCUUUCUUUUUGGAGCUUUGCCAGACUGUCCUUGGUGUGCGGGACAACAGGUGGGCUGCCAUCCAGAAGGACUACAGGACCAUCAGGAACAUGAUGCUGCUAAUUAUUAAUAAUGUCUACAUGUAUCAUCAUCAUCUUACUAUUGUUAGACCGUCCUCUGACUUCAGCUCAUAGACCGUGGUGUUGGUCUGGGCCAUCAACCCUGGGCUGUUCAGCACCGCCUCUCUGACUGAAGAGGAUCGCCCACCUGCACCUCUUAGGGCCGCAUGGAUGCUGGUGACAGAGCUGGCUGCAAAUGGCCUCGACCAGGCGACUGCCGCCUGGCCACGUAGCAGGACCCGGGUUAAGUCUGAGAAAGCAACUGAAAGACAAAGAUUUGAACAAAGAAUACUUGUUAGUGUUGGCAGUGGAUGGCAACUGUUGAAAUAAUUAUUAUAUUAACCAAAUACCAUUGAACACUGUCCUUUCCAGCAGUUUCCCUUUAAUCGCUUUGAACCGCCCGCGCUCGAGCCUGUCCUGGUGACGGAAAGUGUCGACAACUCCUCUGGCUGCGGUAGUGUUUGCCACAGUCCUAUCAGACAGUCUACCUUUCGAUCCGUGAGCCCCUGAAGACCCUCUUGGCCAGCCUGCAGACCUGCUGGUAUCUGGCCCUUGGCACUCCUUCUGAAUGUUACAAAUACAUUAAAAAAAUAAAAUAAAAAGCCUUUCAGGAAA
Long non-coding RNA from Esox lucius (northern pike), 1314 nucleotides. RefSeq lists it as uncharacterized. The transcript is spliced from 3 exons. Lineage: Eukaryota; Metazoa; Chordata; Actinopteri; Esociformes; Esocidae. The record is from RefSeq and is a predicted model, not a curated record.